This 207-nucleotide non-coding RNA is filed under the name Clostridiales bacterium. RNAcentral describes it as "6S RNA". It matches the Rfam family "6S / SsrS RNA". From Rfam's summary of the family: E. coli 6S RNA was the first non coding RNA to be sequenced, but its function was unknown until recently. The record is from RNAcentral. Lineage: Bacteria; Bacillati; Bacillota; Clostridia; Eubacteriales.
AAUGCCCUGAAAUGUGCGUCAGCUUUUAUUUUGAACCUACAUUUUCGAUACGGGAUUCCGUAUUCGGCUGUGUAUGACAGGCCCCAAGUUUCACCGGGAGUCAAGCCCCCCAGCCCACUCCCCACAGGGGAAGUCAAAAGCAGCCAAGAGGAAACCCACCUAGCAUUGCUAGGGAUCAAAAUGAGGCAACGGCAUUUUGGGGUUUUU